This is a non-coding RNA of Seminavis robusta, 92 nucleotides long. The record is from the annotation of a GenBank genome assembly. NCBI's taxonomy places the organism in Eukaryota, Bacillariophyta, Bacillariophyceae, Naviculales, Naviculaceae.
GGGCGUUUGGCGCAGUUGGCAGCGCGCAUGCUUAGCAAUAAUCUUCAGAGCUAAUAUGCAUGAGGUCAUGGGUUCAAUUCCCAUAAUGUCCA